Molecule: long non-coding RNA, 304 nt
Organism: Cyprinus carpio carpio
Lineage: Eukaryota; Metazoa; Chordata; Actinopteri; Cypriniformes; Cyprinidae
Source: Ensembl
CUCUGAGCCACACAGCAGAGAGUCCGGGCCUAGUCUCCACUGGGUCAAGAUGAAUUCAAGGAAGCUGGAUGUCAUGGUAACCCCAAGCAACAAACAUGAACCGAACACUCUACAGCUCCUAGAUCUGCUAUCCAAGGAGUUGAAGGGGACGGCACAUUAAGCCAUGUAAAGGAUGGGGACAAAGACCAAAUGUGUUCAACCACUGGGAUGCACAACGUCUCGGAACAUUAAAACAAGCAAGAAAUCAAACAAAGCCACAUCUGACUGGGAGAAGGCUUUUACGGGGCCCUCAGGAGGAGUUUGA